Molecule: ribosomal RNA, 253 nt
Filed under: uncultured bacterium
Lineage: Bacteria
Description: partial 16S ribosomal RNA
Rfam family: Bacterial small subunit ribosomal RNA
Source: RNAcentral
UACGAAGGGUGCUAGCGUUGUUCGGAAUUACUGGGCGUAAAGAGCGCGUAGGCGGUUAUACAAGUCAGGGGUGAAAUCCCAGAGCUUAACUCUGGAACUGCCUUUGAAACUGUAUAGCUGGAGUGUGUGAGGGGAUAGCGGAAUUCUUAAUGUAGAGGUGAAAUUCGUAGAUAUUCGGAAGAACACCAGUGGCGAAGGCGACUCACUGGACACGUAUUGACGCUGAGGUGCGAAAGCGUGGGGAGCAAACAGG